UGAAGACAUCUAUACAGAAAUCGUGACUUAAAAUGACAGCGCCCCCUGGUGGCAGCAGGAAAUGUAUAGCUGACACUCUGAUGUAUUCCUGCUCAUCCAAUAUGCAAAACCAUGUCAAACUUUGUUUAAUGGGUCUCAAGACAUUGAUAAUGUAGCCAUAAGAUUAUUGUGACUUUUUAUCAUGCGGUUUAUUAAUGGCAUGGCUUGAAAGUUCAUCAGCUCGUCGGAGAGAGUCCCAUUGAAUCCCAUGUUAAAAUGCCCAAUUUUAGAGUAGAAUUAAACCUGUUUACAGCAUUAUUCAAACUUUGGUUUUAGUCUCAAUCGCUAUGUUCUUCCUUCAUUAAAACUCUGAGGGGGUGAACUUUUUCGUAACUACCUCUAUAUCGCUAUAAUAAGCGAUAUAGUGGUUUGAAAUUUACGUGACGUCACAGUGAGCUGCGCCCUCCCUUCUCCUUACUUUUUCCUGUGUCAUUGAACACAACUCGAGACUUUCGAAACCUCCCACUCAGUAUCGGAUGAAUAACACAGUUUGAUGUUUUGCUUGUUCUGCUGACGGACACGUUAAAGACGUCUGCGCUCCCGUUUCUGUGCAUGUCCAGCAUGAGACAACUGGAAUUCAACCACAUUGAACACCGACUUCAGGGACAGACGAGCCUGAAGGACACAGCUGUGAUGACCAUGUUCUGUCUCUUAUGGCAAAGCAGAAAUAUAAAACACUGGGUUCUUAUCUAAAGUGUAUCAAAUCAGAUCUCCACCAUGUUGCUGCUGAGGACAUCAGGUGCUGCAGUUCUUCAUCUAUGAAGAGAAAAAACGCACUGUUAAAGAAUGUUUUGUGUUGUGUAUAAAGCACAACAGAUUUCUGAUAGAACUGUUGUACUGUGGUCUUGGUUUAUAUCCUCAUGGUGAAAUGUACAUAUUUUAAGUCCCUUCUGAUAAAAGUGCUGAAAGAAAUACAACAUUGUACAAAUACAUAAAAUGUCUUUCUACCUCAUCAGUACUAUUCAAGGUGAUAAUCUCCCACAGACCUAUUGAUAACAGUCCAAAUCAAGUCUUUCCACUUCUCUCAGUGUGAAAACAUAAUUCUAUAAUUAAUUUGAGAACUGUUUACAACACUGAUGUGUGGAGAUUAAAAUCAUACCUAAACUGUCUAAUUCACUGUAAAACUCCAUGACAUUCGCAGGCCAUCUGUAGUUAAGGGAGCAACGCAUGGAAUGAUGUGUAGAUUACUAGUUUGAUGAUGCAUGAGGAGAGGCGGUGGUCGAGUGGCAGAAACUUGGACUAUGGGCAGAGAAGGUCUCUGGUUCGUCUUUGGUUCGACUCCAUGGAGAGACAACAAAAGUCGAACCUGGAUUGAUCUGUCCAAAAAUCCAAGAGUCUCCCUACCCUCUCUAGUGCCCAUGAGCAAGGCACCUCACUCCCCCAACAUCUGCUCCCCCGAGCGCCGUACAUGGUCGCUCACUGCUCUGUGUGUCCUGCACCAGAUGGGUAAAAAGCAGCGAUUAAAUUUCCCUACCUGCAUGAGUGUGCCUUUGCAUGUCUGUGCAUGUGUUUGGGAUGAAUAAAUGGAUUUUAAUCUUAAUCUUUUAAUCUUAAUCAGUUGUCUUCCAGUUGACCAGCAUGAAGCUGCAGAUCUCCACCAUGUUGCUGCUGGGGACAUCAGGAGCUGCAUUAAUGAGGAGCAGAAGCGUACUGUUAUGAAUGUUUUGUGUUGUUUAUGAAGCACUACUUAUUUCAGCUAGAACCGAUGUACUAGGGUCUGGGUUUGUAUCCUAAUGGUUAAAUGCACAUACUUUAAAUCGCUUUUGAUAAAACGUGACAAAGAAAUACAACAUUGUACACAUAGAUAAAAUGUCUUUCUACCUCAUCUGUAAUAUUCAAGGUGAUGAUCUCCCACAGAGCUGUUGAUAACAGUCCACAUCAAGUCUCUCCACUUCCCUCAGUGUGAAAACAUAAUUAUAUAAUUAAUUGGAGAAGUGUUUACAACACUGAUGUGUGGACAUUAUAAUGUUAUCACUACUGUCUAAUUCACUCUACAACUCCAUGACAGACUAAAUAAACAAUGUGAAAAUAGUAAUGGCGGAUAUACCAUCCUGUAUCAGAAUAUUGGUGAAACAGUUACUAUCACAUGAAACG
Long non-coding RNA from Platichthys flesus (European flounder), 2133 nucleotides. RefSeq lists it as uncharacterized. NCBI's taxonomy places the organism in Eukaryota, Metazoa, Chordata, Actinopteri, Pleuronectiformes, Pleuronectidae. The record is from RefSeq and is a predicted model, not a curated record. The transcript is spliced from 3 exons.